GGCGGGCGCGGGUGUGG
RNAcentral lists this microRNA (17 nucleotides) under Macrophomina phaseolina MS6. RNAcentral describes it as "miR-3656". The record is from RNAcentral. Lineage: Eukaryota; Fungi; Ascomycota; Dothideomycetes; Botryosphaeriales; Botryosphaeriaceae.